UGAAAGACUAUUUUAUUCAGGAAAGUUUUGGGUUGAUGGUUAUUAUUUUUUUAAUGAAAUUAGUAUGUUGUUUUAUUGCAGCCAUUUUAUGUCCAGCACUUUGAGAUUUGUAUCUGUGAAAAGCACUUCAUAAAUAAACUUUACUGACUUAUUCAGAACUC
Long non-coding RNA from Melanotaenia boesemani (Boeseman's rainbowfish), 161 nucleotides. RefSeq lists it as uncharacterized. NCBI's taxonomy places the organism in Eukaryota, Metazoa, Chordata, Actinopteri, Atheriniformes, Melanotaeniidae. The transcript is spliced from 3 exons. The record is from RefSeq and is a predicted model, not a curated record.